This 406-nucleotide ribosomal RNA is filed under the name uncultured bacterium. Its description in RNAcentral is "partial 16S ribosomal RNA". It matches the Rfam family "Bacterial small subunit ribosomal RNA", at positions 30 to 526 of the family's 1533-position model. The record is from RNAcentral.
AUUGAACGCGGGCGGCAGGCCUAACACAUGCAAGUCGAACGAGUGGCGGACGGGUGAGUAAUGGCUGGGAAACUGCCUGACGGAGGGGGAUAACUACUGGAAACGGUAGCUAAUACCGCAUACCAUCAGAUGUGCCCAGGUGGGAUUAGCUAGUUGGGGGGGUAACGGCUCACCUAGGCGACGAUCCCGAGCUGGUCGGCGAGGAUGACCAGCCACACUGCAACUGUGCCACGGUCCAGCCCCCUGCGGGAGGCCGCGAGGGUGAAUAUUGCCCAAUGGUCGAAAGCCUGCUGCAGCCAUGCCGCGUGUAUGAAGACGUCCUUCGUGUUGUAAAGUACUUUCAGCGGGGCGGCGUUACCCGCAGAAUAAGCGCCGGCUAACUCCGUGCCAGCCGCCGCGGUAAUAC